Molecule: ribosomal RNA, 520 nt
Filed under: uncultured Glomus
Lineage: Eukaryota; Fungi; Glomeromycota; Glomeromycetes; Glomerales; Glomeraceae
Description: SSU rRNA
Rfam family: Eukaryotic small subunit ribosomal RNA
Source: RNAcentral
AGCAGCCGCGGUAAUUCCAGCUCCAAUAGCGUAUAUUAAAAGUUGUUGCAGUUAAAAAAGCUCGUAGUUGAAUUUCGGGGUCAGUAGGUCGGUCGUGCCACUGGUAUGAACUGGUCUCACUGAUUCCUCCCUCUUGUAGAACCGUGAUGCCAUUAAUUUGGUGUUGCGGGGAAACAGGACUGUUACUUUGAAAAAAUUAGAGUGUUUAAAGCAAGCUAACGCUUGAAUACAUUAGCAUGGAAUAAUGAAAUAGGACGUCUGUCUUAUUUUGUUGGUUUUCUAGGAUGGACGUAAUGAUUAAUAGGGAUAGUUGGGGGCAUUAGUAUUCAAUUGUCAGAGGUGAAAUUCUUGGAUUUAUUGAAGACUAACUACUGCGAAAAGCAUUUGCCAAGGAUGUUUUCAUUAAUCAAGAACGAAAGUUAGGGAUCGAAGACGAUCAGAUACCGUCGUAGUCUUAACCAUAAACUAUCGACCGACUAGGGACUCGGAUGAUUGUUAAUUUUUUAAUGUACUUCUAUUC